CCUACGGGAGGCAGCAGUGAGGAAUAUUGGGCAAUGGGGGCAACCCUGACCCAGCCAUGCCGCGUGAGUGAAGAAGGUCUUCGGAUUGUAAAGCUCUUUCGGACGUGACGAUGAUGACGGUAGCGUCUAAAGAAGCACCGGCAAACUUCGUGCCAGCAGCCGCGGUAAUACGAAGGGUGCGAGCGUUGUUCGGAAUUACUGGGCGUAAAGGGAGGGUAGGCGGAUAUGUAAGAUAGCGGUGAAAUGCCGGGGCUCAACCCCGGAACUGCCAUUAUGACUAUGUAUCUAGAGUAAGGGAGAGGAUAGUAGAAUACCCAGUGUAGAGGUGAAAUUCGUAGAGAUUGGGUAGAACACCGGUGGCGAAGGCGGCUAUCUGGCCAUUUACUGACGCUGAGGUUCGAAAGCAUGGGGAGCAAACAGGAUUAGAUACCCCUGUAGUC
RNAcentral lists this ribosomal RNA (440 nucleotides) under uncultured bacterium. Its description in RNAcentral is "partial 16S ribosomal RNA". It matches the Rfam family "Bacterial small subunit ribosomal RNA", at positions 338 to 795 of the family's 1533-position model. The record is from RNAcentral.